ACAAGCGGUGGAGCAUGUGGUUAAUUCGACGCAACGCGAAGAACCUUACCUGGGCUUGACAUCCCGAUCGCACCUUAUGGAAACAUAGGGGUCAGUUCGGCUGGAUCGGUGACAGGUGCUGCAUGGCUGUCGUCAGCUCGUGUCGUGAGAUGUUGGGUUAAGUCCCGCAACGAGCGCAACCCUUGUCCUUAGUUGCCAGCAUUCAGUUGGGCACUCUAAGGAGACUGCCGGUGUCAAACCGGAGGAAGGUGGGGAUGACGUCAAGUCCUCAUGGCCCUUAUGUCCAGGGCUACACACGUGCUACAAUGGCCGGUACAAAGGGGCGCAAGACCGCGAGGUGGAGCAAAUCCCAAAAAACCGGUCUCAGUUCGGAUUGGAGUCUGCAACUCGACUCCAUGAAGUUGGAAUCGCUAGUAAUCGCGUAUCAGCAUGACGCGGUGAAUACGUUCCCGGGCCUU
Molecule: ribosomal RNA, 458 nt
Filed under: uncultured Desulfuromonas sp.
Lineage: Bacteria; Pseudomonadati; Thermodesulfobacteriota; Desulfuromonadia; Desulfuromonadales; Desulfuromonadaceae
Description: bacterial SSU rRNA
Rfam family: Bacterial small subunit ribosomal RNA
Source: RNAcentral